Fukomys damarensis (Damara mole-rat) is the source of this 363-nucleotide long non-coding RNA. RefSeq lists it as uncharacterized. The transcript is spliced from 3 exons. The record is from RefSeq and is a predicted model, not a curated record. Lineage: Eukaryota; Metazoa; Chordata; Mammalia; Rodentia; Bathyergidae.
GGGCCAUAAAAGGAGGGAGACAAUCCCACUCCAGCCCCCACUCCAGACUGUGAAAAGAUCUCCAGGGCAGGUCAUUUAGGAAAAAGCCUUACCACUUCCUGGAGUCUACACAUGAAACAUCUGAAGAUGCCGAAGUGUCUCUUACCUCCACCCCAUUCACUCACUCCUCAGACUAGCAUUCCACCAGGAGCCACCCCAGCCAGAAAGGUCUCUGUGUCCAUCUGCCUGCUUGGCACUGCGGGCAGCAGAUGGGGGCCAGCGAACCAUCUUGGAAGAGGUGCACGGAGAAGGACAAGGCCGGCCUCCCCUCACCAGCUGUUAAGGGGCUCGCCAAUUAAGUGGCUGCUUAGGGCUUUCAGAACC